Molecule: ribosomal RNA, 493 nt
Filed under: uncultured bacterium
Lineage: Bacteria
Description: partial 16S ribosomal RNA
Rfam family: Bacterial small subunit ribosomal RNA
Source: RNAcentral
GACGAACGCUGGCGGCGUGCCUAACACAUGCAAGUUGAGCGACGAACCAGGGCUUGCCCUGGGGCAAAGCAGCGAACGGGUGAGUAACACGUGGGUAACCUACCCCGAUAACCGGGACAACCCGAGGAAACUCGGGCUAAUACCGGAUGUGCUCACUGGACUUCGGUUCAGUGCGUAAAGGAAGCUUCGGCCUCCGUAUCGGGAGGGGCCCGCGGCCCAUUAGUUUGUUGGUGAGGUAACGGCUCACCAAGACCGCGAUGGGUAGCUGGUCUGAGAGGACGAUCAGCCACACUGGGACUGAGACACGGCCCAGACUCCUACGGGAGGCAGCAGUGGGGAAUCUUGCGCAAUGCGCGAAAGCGUGACGCAGCAACGCCGCGUGGGGGAAGAAGGCCUUCGGGUUGUAAACCCCUUGCAGGAGGGACGAAGGUUCGGCGGUGAAUAGCCGUCCGGACUGACGGUACCUCCACAAGAAGCCCCGGCUAACUACGUG